UUAGGUAAAUGGUAACCACACAAAUAAUGAAAGAAAAGAAAUAGAUUAAGUAUAAUUUAAAGCGUUUACCAAACUUUCAGAUAUUAAAACCAUGAAAGUUUUAUUUUAGAACUAGGAUUAGAUACCCUAUUACUACUAACCGUAAAUCACUACCAGGGUAUUAAAAGAGAUCUUAAAACCUAAAGAGCUUGGCGGCUUUUUACACUACCAGGGGAGCUUGUCUCAUAAACGAUAAUCCGCGAUAAAAUUUUACCCUAGUUUGAUUAAACAGUUUGUAUACCUCCGUCCGCGUUGAUCUUUAAGAGCAUUAGCUUAGAAACAUAGUCUCUUUAAGUCAGGUCCAGGUGCAGCUUAUACAAGGGAGAGGAUGAGCUACAUUAUAAUUUAUUAUUAGAUAUUACAGUGAAAAAUGUAAUUGAAACAGUACUUGGAAGUAAUUUUACUUUAAAACAGAAAAAUGAACAAUAUAUAAAAAGUGCACAAAUCGCCCGUCGAUCCCCCCCAGAGAGGGGAAAAGUCGUAACACAGUA
RNAcentral lists this ribosomal RNA (530 nucleotides) under Fenestrulina sp. AW423. Its description in RNAcentral is "partial 12S ribosomal RNA". The record is from RNAcentral. Lineage: Eukaryota; Metazoa; Bryozoa; Gymnolaemata; Cheilostomatida; Microporellidae.